This 638-nucleotide ribosomal RNA is filed under the name Globigerinoides conglobatus. Its description in RNAcentral is "partial 18S ribosomal RNA". The stretch from base 1 to 559 matches the Rfam family "Eukaryotic small subunit ribosomal RNA", at positions 1294 to 1607 of the family's 1831-position model. The record is from RNAcentral. Lineage: Eukaryota; Foraminifera; Rotaliida; Globigerinidae.
UUAGUUCGUGGAGUGAUCUGUCUGCUUAAUUGCGUUUCAAAUUCUAUUGUUGAGUACCAGGUCCUAAGAGUUUCAAGCAAAUCUGUCUCUGAGUGUGAACUGUAUGUCUUCGGAUAUGCGACUAUCGCUCUAGACAACUAUGAUCUGCUUGUAGCCUCUGGUACUCUUUUGAACGCAACGGACGUGAUUGCAACCCCUUGUUGAGUUUGCUUCUCUUAGGAACUCUACGUCUGCUGAACCACCUACCUUAGCGGGUAGGUGGUGAGGUGGAUAAACUCGGGGGACUGCUGACUAUAACCAUUUCUCAAAACAGAGGAAGGUUGCGGCAAUAACAGGUCUGUGAUGCCCUCAGAUGUCCCGGGCUGCACACGUGCUACAAUGAGUAGCGCAGUGUGCACAUUUUGAAGAGUGAUAGGUGCUGGGGAUUGUAUAUUUCAUGGGCUCGUCCUGGUAACCAACCGCCCCCAGCAUCUAUCAACCUUCCCUUUACAGGGUGGGUAACCUCUUCGAAAUGCUGGUUUGAUUCUCUUAGUGUUUGUCAUUUUAUUCCUCGUCGCAGCUGCUCUAGGACAUAGUGAACACUGUAAAGUGAUUCCCGUCUUAGGCUUGUGACGCGUGCUUUUCCUGGUUGACUCAUC